AUAAACCCCAAAUCAAUCAAAAUGUUGCAGUCACUCCUAUUUUCAGAAUUAUAUAGUUUGGUUGGAGGAGAUUCCCUCCGAACUCAAUUGUAAUUUUUAAUUUCGUUUAAUUAAUGUUCUAUUAUCUUUAAAAGGAAAAUGAGUAAGAAAAUUUAAAGUACGUGUAAAAUCUUUUUAGUUAGUUCUCACACUCUCAGUAAUAAUAACAUUUUAGUGCUAAGUAAGACCAACAUACUGUAUCCUUUGUACACUCAUCAAAUAAGAUCUUACCACAUAACAUUUAUUUAUACCAGACCAAUCAUAUUAAUGCUAAGAAUAAAUGAAAAAGGAAAAAAAAUACACACACCAACAUGAUAUAGAUUUUUGAAAGUUUCCUAUUUAAGGUUUUCUCUCGAAAAAGAAAACUUAUGGAUUCUUUUCAUGGAAAGAAGGAAUUCAAAAAAUGAAAUCUGAGUUUGUUUUUCUACUUUUUAAGGAAACAGGCAAACAGCUUAUAGAAGAUCCAAACCUAUCCAUUUUUAUGAGGAAGAAGAUCUCCAAUAUACAGAAUUAUGUUAUUAUUUUCUUUAGAGUUUGGAGAUCAUAUGACAACCUGUUCGUAAGAUAAGUGUAUCACGUAAAUGACAAUCCAUUAAAUGCACCAAAUUUCUUUCAUUCUAUUGUCUAUUAAGUUUUAUGUAUUGUGUUAUAUAAAUAGAUUAACAUGUUACACUUAUUUGGGCUAUCCUAACUUCAGGUGUCAAGAGUCAUGGCAUAUAAAUCGAGGCUGUCUCUAACAUUUUUCAUCAUCAUCCUUUUAGCUCAUCUCAUGAACUCUGAGGCUCGAAAUCCCCACAUCAAAGCACCCCCACCACCUAUCGUUGUGGACAAUAUCAAAGCACCACCGCCGCCUAUCGUCGCCGUCGACAACAUCAAAGCACCACCACCACCUACCACCACUGACAACAUCAAAGCCCCGCCGCCACCUGUUAUAUGAAUAAAAAAUUUCAUCCAUAUGCUUAAAGGAGACUGUCAGACUGACACUUUACCCUUACAGUUUUUGGGUUUCAUCACUUACUCUUAUGUAUAAUUUUUAUGUUACAAUGUUAUCUCCUUGACAUCAACCUUUUAGCCAAAAAGAGGAAAAAAAAAAAUUGUGUUUGAGAUUUUUUUUUUAAUUUUGUGUGAAAAUUUUUAUAUAAGAAGGAUAACGGCUGAUGUAUUAUGAAAAUAAUAAGAGUAAGUGAUAAAAAUUCAGAGACUUUAUGGGGAAAAUGUCAUUCUCCUCUUUUUUAUUAUUAUCAUGAACGUGAUCCAUGAUCCGUGAAUAAGAAUUAAGAAGUUGUUGUGAAGAAAAAACAUUCAAACAUUGAGCACAGAGCUAUUCUUCUUCUAAUUAUAAUAUUUCAAUUCUUGGAAGCAUUACGUGUCAUAACAAUGCCAACUUUUAGCAAUUGUGUGUGGCAAAAUUAUGUGAAGGAUCGAACUGCUUAAUUACAGAGCUUGAGAAAAAAGGAAUUAUAGAAAAAGAAAGAAAGUACUGAACUUAAUUUUGAAAUUGAAAAAAGCUUAUAACAAAUCACACCUGUUUUCACUCCAAGUAUUGUACUGCGAAGACAACAAAUCAUACAUAAAGAUAAGAGGAAAAAGAAAAAAAAAAUCAGUUAAAAGUUAAUUUGUUUAUAUAUAUAAAGAGUACGAAAAUUGAUUAAUAACAUGUCAAAACAUUAAUUUUCUUGAGUAAAAAUUAAAUAUAUGAUAUGACACCAAUUCAUACAUUCAAAAUUAUUUAACUAUUCAAAUUUGAGAUUAAAAAAAAAAAAAAGUUCACCUACCUUAUAAACUCUACUCAUUUAUUCUAAAUUAUUAUAUCCAAAUUAUGUGCGGAGUUAAUGUUAAAAAUUUUGUGGAUCAUUGUUUGACAUGGAAAGUGAACUCGCAGUGGCACAUAAGCUAAUCUAUACAUCUCUCGAGUAAACGAAAAAUGGAAUAGUGCCAAAUUAAUUAGUUAGCAUGUGCAUGAAAUGAUAAAAAAAAAAAAAUUGACACGAAUUUUUCAAAAUAAAUUUUUCGAAAUCAUUUGGCAAAUUGUGAUUCUUUUGCUUAUAUUUUUUUAGUAAACCUUUAUCUUCUUUUCAAAAAUAAAUAUAAUUUUCAAUUUUCAAAUUAGUUCAUUAUACCAAAAAAAAAAAAAAAAUGAUAGAUUUUUCAUGCAGCAUUAUGGAAAGCAAUGCUAUUCAUCCUUCAUUGGUACUAGGAGAGUGAUCACUCAAAAUAUUGUAUUGCAAAAACAGCACAUUAUACAGAGGGUCCUCGGAAAGUACAUUUUAUUUAUAUACGAGAAUGUGUGUGUGUGCGCGCGCGCGCGCGUGUUGUGGUUUAAUUAUUAGUAAAAUAAAUUAGAUCAGAUGUUAUUGAUAGAUAUUUUUUAAUCCAAGUCCAAAUUAAAUUUUUGUUACGUUUCACUUUCCAUUUGUCUCACCUCUAGCUUAAACAUAGCCUAGAAGUCAAUGAUCGACAAAUAUUGAAGAAUCUAGAAAAGGACGCGUCCGUCUAUAAUCUAACUUAUUAAUCUUUAUUAUGAUAAACUAUAAAAUAGACCCGCGUUUUACGCGGCUUUGAAAAAAGAAUUUAGUAUUAUCAUUUUUUCUUACUUUACACUUGAUGAAACUGAUAAAAAAUAAGAAUUGAUUUUUUUUUUAAGAUGAGGCAGCCUUAUAAAAAAUAAAAAAAAGCUAUUAGUUAGCAAUACAAAUAAAGAAGCAACGCAAGAUAAAGAAUAAAAUGAGAGAAUAUACUAUAGAGUGAUUUUAUUCAUUCCAAUUGUGUGUGUACAAAACAAAAAGAUGAGCUCUCCUUUUAUAGUUACAUAAUCACUCCAUGAAAUUAAUGAAAAAUUAUGGAUCAUAAUUUCUUGUGAGAUAGUGAGAGUUAUAGGAAAGCUAAAGGUUGCUAAUGGGAGAUAGUGAGGAGACUAAGAGAUAUAUGUUAUGAACAUUUACAUUUAUUUUAAUAAAUUCAUAACACUCCCCCUUUGAUAUUCAUUACAAAGAAUAUGCCUCAUUAAAAUCUUUACAUAAUUGUUAUUGUAUAAUAACAAUCAAAUUAAUUAUGAGAAGAUAAAAUGCCAAAUCUAAAAGAAAAAUUCUCUAUUUAUUAGAUAAUAGAGAAUAUACAAAGAAGAGAAAUGGUGAUGCCACAUCACCUCCUCAAGUCCAAACUUUAUAUAGAUAUAUAGAUUUGGAAUCGUAAUACAGCAAUGUUAAAUUAAUAAAUUCUUUAUAUAAAUUAGGGAUAAAUCUGUGGUGCAACUGUGGUACCGUGCCACAGUUGCACCCAACCGUUGGAUUUCCACUUAUUUAAGUGGACCCCACUCAUUUGAGUGGAUCCAACGGCUGGUGCAACUGUGGCACGGUACCACAGUUGCAUUGUAGCCUGACCCAUAAAUUAGUUAUUUUCAUAUGUCACAUCAGUUCGUAUGAUAAAUUUGGAAUCGUAAUACAACAAUGUUAAAUUAAUAAAUUCUUUAUAUAAAUUAGUUAUUUUCAUAUGUCACAUCAGCUUGUAUGAAUGGUAUUUUAUAAUUUUAGCAUUAAUCAUCAUGAAAUAAGAUAGCAAAUGAAUUGGUGAUACCAUAUAAGUUAACAUAUCUCGUUGAAUGACAAUUUUCUAAUGAAAUUCGGAAAGUGUGCUGUAGAAGCAAACAAAAGCCAAACAUCACAACCAAUAGUUUGUCAGAGUGGAUUUUGUUUGGAUUUCCCAAUCUAUUGACGUGUAUUAUCCCAAAAUAAUCAUCUACUCAAAAGAUUUUUUCCCCAUAAAAUUUUUGUAUAUAAAUAUGUGAACAUGUAACGGCGUUAGCUUAAAACUCCAACUUAGUAUAAAAGCUAUGGCUUACAUAGGAAAAAUGAGUCUGUCAUUUUUUUCACCAUCAUUUUAGUUCAUUUUGUAAAUUGUGAGGUUCGAAAAUUUUAUUGAUUUGAAGAAGUUUAUAAAAUUGUUAAUAACAAAUGGUCAAAUAAGAGAGAAUUACCUGGAGGACAUGAUCUCCAUCGUCAUGAUACUUCAUCACUAUAUCUUGCUCAUAUAAAGAGAGAAUCGCCUAGAGGGUUUGAUCCCCAUCAUUAUGAUACUCCACUGUUUAAUAUUAUUCAUAUCAGGAGAGAAUCACCUGAGGGGUCUGAUCCCCAUCAUCAUAAUACUCCACUGUUUAAUCUUGUUCAUAUCAAGAGAGAAUCACCUGAAGAGCCUGAUCCCCAUCAUCGUGAUACUCCACCAUUAAAUAUUGCUCAUAUCAAGAGAAAAUUGUCAGGAGGACCUGACCCCAGUUAUCAUGAUACUUCGCUACUAAAUCUUGCUCACAUCAAGAGAGAAUCACCUAGAGGCAUUGAUCUUCAUCAUCACGAUAUUCUGCCACUAAAUCUUUGCUCAUAUUAAGAGAGAAUCACCCGAAAGACCCGAUCGACAUCAUCACGACACUCCACCACUAAAUCUUACUCAUGUCAAGAGAGAAUCACCUGGAAGACUUGAUCAUAUUCAUCAUGACACUCCAUCACUUUAUCUUGCUUAUAUCAACAAAGAGACGGCAACCGGCCCUAAGCCCAUUGGUCAUCAUGAU
RNAcentral lists this long non-coding RNA (4597 nucleotides) under Citrus x clementina. RNAcentral's name for it is "Citrus clementina (C. clementina) long non-coding RNA (CCLE_LNC002074)". The record is from RNAcentral. Lineage: Eukaryota; Viridiplantae; Streptophyta; Magnoliopsida; Sapindales; Rutaceae.